CCGCGGUAUACAGAGGGUGCAGCGUUAAUCCGGAAUUACUAGGGCGUAAAGCGAGCGUAGGUGGCUUGAUAAGUCAGAUGUGAAAUCCCCGGGCUUAACCUGGGAACUGCAUCUGAAACUGUUAGGCUAGAGUAGGUGAGAGGGAAGUAGAAUUUCAGGUGUAGCGGUGAAAUGCGUAGAGAUCUGAAGGAAUACCGAUGGCGAAGGCAGCUUCCUGGCAUCAUACUGACACUGAGGCUCGAAAGCGUGGGUAGCAAACAGGAUUAGAUACCCUGGUAGUCCACGCCGUAAACGAUGUCUACUAGUCGUUGGGUCCCUUGAGGACUUAGUGACGCAGCUAACGCAAUAAGUAGACCGCCUGGGGAGUACGGCCGCAAGGUUAAAACUCAAAUGAAUUGACGGGGGCCCGCACAAGCGGUGGAGCAUGUGGUUUAAUUCGAUGCAACGCGAAGAACCUUACCUGGUCUUGACAUACACAGAAUCUUGUAGAGAUACGAGAGUGCCUUCGGGAAUUGUGAUACAGGUGCUGCAUGGCUGUCGUCAGCUCGUGUCGUGAGAUGUUGGGUUAAGUCCCGCAACGAGCGCAACCCUUGUCCUUAGUUACCAGCACUUCGGGUGGGAACUCUAAGGAUACUGCCAGUGACAAACUGGAGGAAGGCGGGGACGACGUCAAGUCAUCAUGGCCCUUACGACCAGGGCUACACACGUGCUACAAUGGUAGGUACAGAGGGCAGCUACACAGCGAUGUGAUGCGAAUCUCAAAAAGCCUAUCGUAGUCCAGAUUGGAGUCUGCAACUCGACUCCAUGAAGUAGGAAUCGCUAGUAAUCGCGGAUCAGAUGCCGCGUGAUACGUCG
This 855-nucleotide ribosomal RNA is filed under the name Psychrobacter sp. CL1705. RNAcentral's name for it is "bacterial SSU rRNA". It matches the Rfam family "Bacterial small subunit ribosomal RNA", at positions 515 to 1373 of the family's 1533-position model. The record is from RNAcentral. Lineage: Bacteria; Pseudomonadati; Pseudomonadota; Gammaproteobacteria; Moraxellales; Moraxellaceae.